RNAcentral lists this unclassified non-coding RNA (274 nucleotides) under Coregonus zenithicus (shortjaw cisco). Its description in RNAcentral is "nontranscribed spacer". The record is from RNAcentral. Lineage: Eukaryota; Metazoa; Chordata; Actinopteri; Salmoniformes; Salmonidae.
UUUGUUCCACUAGAGAGUGCUCUUGUUUCAUGGUGCAACUGCCUUUUAUUUAUUACCCUAAUAAUAUCCUGUAUUUUUAUUGGACUAAAUGCAGUUUGUAUUUGCUGCCCUGCCCUGCCCUGAUCAAAUUAAAUAAUACACUGUGCGUUUCCCUCAAAAUAUAGACAGUACAUUCAGCCUUUGUUUUUAGUCGGUUCAUUAAGUUGCAUGGAAAUACGAAUCACUGAUACAUUUUGUUCAUGUCUUUAUAUAGUUUACCAAUAGUUGUUCAUGC